Molecule: ribosomal RNA, 885 nt
Filed under: Salmonella enterica
Lineage: Bacteria; Pseudomonadati; Pseudomonadota; Gammaproteobacteria; Enterobacterales; Enterobacteriaceae
Description: partial 23S ribosomal RNA
Rfam family: Bacterial large subunit ribosomal RNA
Source: RNAcentral
AGACCCGAAACCCGGUGAUCUAGCCAUGGGCAGGUUGAAGGUUGGGUAACACUAACUGGAGGACCGAACCGACUAAUGUUGAAAAAUUAGCGGAUGACCUGUGGCUGGGGGUGAAAGGCCAAUCAAACCGGGAGAUAGCUGGUUCUCCCCGAAAGCUAUUUAGGUAGCGCCUCGUGAAUUCAUCUCCGGGGGUAGAGCACUGUUUCGGCUAGGGGGCCAUCCCGGCUUACCAACCCGAUGCAAACUGCGAAUACCGGAGAAUGUUAUCACGGGAGACACACGGCGGGUGCUAACGUCCGUCGUGAAGAGGGAAACAACCCAGACCGCCAGCUAAGGUCCCAAAGUCAUGGUUAAGUGGGAAACGAUGUGGGAAGGCCCAGACAGCCAGGAUGUUGGCUUAGAAGCAGCCAUCAUUUAAAGAAAGCGUAAUAGCUCACUGGUCGAGUCGGCCUGCGCGGAAGAUGUAACGGGGCUAAACCAUGCACCGAAGCUGCGGCAGCGACGCUGAUGCGUUGUUGGGUAGGGGAGCGUUCUGUAAGCCUGUGAAGGUGGCCUGUGAGGGUUGCUGGAGGUAUCAGAAGUGCGAAUGCUGACAUAAGUAACGAUAAAGCGGGUGAAAAGCCCGCUCGCCGGAAGACCAAGGGUUCCUGUCCAACGUUAAUCGGGGCAGGGUGAGUCGACCCCUAAGGCGAGGCCGAAAGGCGUAGUCGAUGGGAAACGGGUUAAUAUUCCCGUACUUGGUGUUACUGCGAAGGGGGGACGGAGAAGGCUAUGUUGGCCGGGCGACGGUUGUCCCGGUUUAAGCGUGUAGGUGUGUGUUCCAGGUAAAUCCGGUUCACUUUAACACUGAGGCGUGAUGACGAGGCACUACGGUGCUGAAGCAAC